GGGGCAGAACUUCCGGGGUAACGCAGCGACCGCGGCAGCGCAGCAGCCUCAGGGAGCAGUACUUCCGUUGUCCAGCGCGCCUGCGCUGGUCUCUAACACCUUCUCGGCCUCCCCGUUAUCCGUAGGCCCGUUCUCCUACACUACUUUUGCUGCCUCCUCCCCCAACUUCUGGCCUCCGCCGAGGAGAGCCGCUAGAGCGUAGGGGAAGUGCUGUGCCCCCCUACCCCCAGGGGCCCUAAGAGAGGUUAGCGUACGGUUUCCCUUGGCUGUGCUGGGCCAAGUGCUGGGAGGGAGGCCGGUAAAAAGGAAUCUGAUCUCCCGGAGUCCCAUGGUUGAAGGCGCGGCCUCCUCCGGAAGAAAAUGAGUGUGACCGCCUCCCUUCGAGUAGGGCCCCUCUCCUGUUGGCCUGAAAAGGCCGGAGUUCCCCCAAUCCAGACUUAAGGCUCUUAGGACUCAUCAAUAUUCAAUCCUCACACAGAAGACAAUGAAUCCUGGGCCCUUUUCUUCUGCACUCUCUUGGAGAGCCCAUCAGCUUUAGUGAGUCAAAUAAAACAAGGCACUAAGCAGUUAGAACUGGGUCUUCAACCAAGAAUCACCUAUACAUCAAAACUUACUAUAUACCUCCAGGGGAAAGUAUGGACAUUCAAAAAAAAUGGAAGAUUUCCAAGUAUUUCUAAAGAAAAGACCAGAACUCAGUGGAAAGUUUGAUAUCCAAACACAACGAACAAGAGAAACAUGAAAAGUAUUUGAAUGAUGAAAAUGGACCAAGAGAGGGAAAAACAACUGGAUUCACAAAACCACUGAAUUUCAACAUUGGAAGGGAGGUCAGAAGUUAUAUUGAGGCUAGGAGGAACCUUUGUCGUACAGUCAUGUCCAACUCUUCAUGACGAUAUUUGGAGUCUGUCCAUCCUUCCUUCCAUUCUUGUUCCUUCUUUCUUAGUAUCAAUCCUAAAACAGAAGAACAGCAAGACCUAAGUAUAUUGAGCAUAAGUGACCUGACCAAGGUCAGGAAGUGUCUGAGGUCAGAUUUACAACAAUGUCUUCCCUGUUCUAGCCUUGUGCUCUAUCCAUUGUAUUACCUUGCUGCUCCUUGAUUCUCUAGCUUUUAAAAACUGCAUAUUUAAUUAUUUCUACUUUUCAGAUAUAAAUUUUUUACUGAUAAUCAGCUCUAUUUCAUUCUUCAAAUUAUAGUAUAUUGUCUUAUCAUUAUUCUCUCAUGUAGUUAUUAAAUGAAUCUAUGACUUGUUAUUUGAUGUAUUCAUUAUUCAAGGUGUCAUGAAAUCUAUUUCUGUCUAUAUCUUUUGAUUGCAUUCCUUAUAUUAACUACUGUUUUAUUAUGGUCUAUAAGGGAUAUUUAAUAUUUAUAUCCUUUUAAAUAUAUUUAUAAUAUAUCUAUAUUCUAACACAUGAUCUGUUUUUGUAAAGAUACUACAUAAUACUC
RNAcentral lists this long non-coding RNA (1441 nucleotides) under Monodelphis domestica (gray short-tailed opossum). RNAcentral describes it as "lncRNA (ENSMODG00000036016.2)". The record is from RNAcentral. Lineage: Eukaryota; Metazoa; Chordata; Mammalia; Didelphimorphia; Didelphidae.